UUGUUAUUUUAUUUUCACCUACGUGACUUUACCCAAUAGAACCAAAGAGUAUUUACCGAAAGAACCAAAGAGUAUGGAUUCCUGCAGUCACAAAAGCUUCAAAUGAAGAUUGAGUAAUAGGGUUUUAAAAACGCAAAUUAAAUGGGAGUAUCCACGUGGACGGAUAGGAUGGCAACAACAUUCGUUCUAGAUUUUAAGUUUUCGUGACUGCAAGGAUCCAUACUCUUUGAUUCUUUCGGUAAAGUCACGUAGGUAAAAAAAUAAAUUAAAUUUUACAAAAAUGAAAACAUACUAAAUUCAAUCACGACGUUUCGGAGGCGACACAAGCUUCCUUCAUCAGGUGUAAGUAGCACGGCAAAAUUACUGUAGAGAGAGAGCUAUUUGUGAUGAGAGAUUAAUAACAACAUUCGCUCUUCGACAAGUUGGACGGAACUCCAGGAUUGGAAAGGAAUACAAAGGCUGUGCAAGAACAAGCCGAUGGAGGAACUAGCCUCGCACACAGGUGGUCAUGGGUUCGAUCCCGACCCUGACACCUGCCCUUUGUGUGCGUGUGUCUCUCUCCCUGUGCGCUGCGUGAAUUUUCCUCCGGGUUCCUCCGGUUUUCCCCUUCCACAUUUAGAAAUGUGCGUUUAAGAAUAUUUUGCUUGCGAUAAAUGUCCGCAUGAGCUACUUCGUUGUCGCUUCCGAAGAAUAGCUAUAUAGCUCAGUGGGACUUUCCUGAUAAAAAAAUAGUUUAAUGGUUAAUGCAUGUAUUGUCCUUAUUGUUGUAUUGGGUAAGCCGACAGUGUCCUCGGGGAGGUCUUAUAACGAGGGAGCGCCCGCACCCGAAUCUGCGUUAUAACCGAGGAGCACAGUUUGCAAAAGUGUUUUGCCCAGACAAUUACCAUGCUUUCGCCAUCGUACCCCUAAAUAUAUAUUGUCCCGAGGAGACAUAAGCAUGUAGGAAAGUGUCACGUAAUCCACGCAUAUUAAUAAAAAAACACAUGUGAUUGAUUGAGACAUUUCAUAGUCUGAAAUUUGCUAUUUUAGAUUUUCAGGGUCAAUUUGAAUAUCACGAUGCAGCAGUUUGAUGCUGGAACUGCUGGAUUCAACAUCUUCCAGAAUCGCAGCGAUUCAACAUCGAGCAAGGCAUCGACACCAUCCUCAUCCACAGUGAAGGAAGACAGCACGGAGGAAAAACGCAGGAGAAAACUCCAACCUGAAUAUUAAAAAGCGGAAAUCACAGUAACGGGCCGGGAGAUUGCCUCAAUAAAAAAAUAAAUAUGUAAAACAGGAUCAAUCACAGUACACGCACUUGUGGGCUCUGUCUUGUAUACGGUCUAUUUUACUAAGACGGAUGCUCUCCGCUUAACCGUCCCGCUGCCUCCCCGGCUGUCAGGUGCUUCAGGUGGACAAGCCUCUGAAGCCUCCGAAGGAACCGGAGGGCGCGGGGGUCAAGUGCGGCUGAACGGAGCGCUGCUGCGGAGAGCAGGCAAGCCCAGCGCUUGCCAAGCACACCUUGUGUGGUCAAGCCAAACGUGCGAGCAACGUCGAUAGUCUCGCACUCCUGCAGUGGCGGAUCCAAGGGUAGGGAAACGCGGGGGAUGUAUGUACGUACGUAUGUUUAACUUCUAUCAUAUUGUACGGGAUAGCCUCCCCCUUGAGACCCCACAAUUGGAUUUUUAUAUUUACCACAAGCAACACAUUUAAUAUUCUUAGAUCUUUCGGUAUUAAUAAAAAAAUAUUUUGUUGUUUCCCUUCAACGUGACUUUACCGAAAGAGCUAAGAAUAUGAAUUACUGCAGUCACGAAAGCUUUAAAUCAAAACACAUUUGAUGUUUUGUUAACGUGCGGCUUGAAAUAUCGCCACUGCCGUCUCACCCCUUGGGAAGUUUCAGAGACCUUCCUCUGCAGCAUUGUGAAACUGCAACUCGAAUCCAAUGUUGAUGCACUGCUGGAUGUCACUCAGCUGGUCGGCAAGAACAUCCACGCAUCAGUACCCGAGUUCAAUAGACACCCGGCCGGUGUGCAGUGCGUGCAGUCCUCGGUGGAGAGAGGUGUCUGGGACCAGCUUCACACAGGACUGCCUGCGAAGCCACCUCCAUCACUGAGCAAAGUCUGCACAGAAAGAGCCACCAGGAGGUCGUGGCCAAACGCCCAAGGACACGCGGAGGCUGCAGCUGGUGCCGAGAGAUCAAGACGGCCCUCUCCACCGCAGCGCACGGCCCCAGGUGCAGCGACCACGACCACCACCACCACUUUGUGGACGCCUCGGACGAGCCGGAGCCCAACAGAAGACCGCUCGAGUGCAGCCGUCGCCCAGACCUCACGAGAAGUUUUGAACGACACCUCCGCACUCUUUUAAUCGUAAAUAGUACACGCUUAUUAAAUGUCUUAUUUAUUUAA
Petromyzon marinus (sea lamprey) is the source of this 2384-nucleotide non-coding RNA. Lineage: Eukaryota; Metazoa; Chordata; Hyperoartia; Petromyzontiformes; Petromyzontidae. The record is from RefSeq and is a predicted model, not a curated record.